GAAGGGACCUAGCGUAGUUCGGAAUUACUGGGCUUAAAGAGUUCGUAGGUGGUUGAAAAAGUUGGUGGUGAAAUCCCAGAGCUUAACUCUGGAACUGCCAUCAAAACUUUUCAGCUAGAGUAUGAUAGAGGAAAGCAGAAUUUCUAGUGUAGAGGUGAAAUUCGUAGAUAUUAGAAAGAAUACCAAUUGCGAAGGCAGCUUUCUGGAUCAUUACUGACACUGAGGAACGAAAGCAUGGGUAGCGAAGAGGAUUAGAUACCCUCGUAGUCCAUGCCGUAAACCGAUGUGUGUUAGACGUUGGAAAUUUAUUUUCAGUGUCGCAGGGAAACCGAUAAACACACCGCUGGGAGUACGACCGAAGGUUAAACUCAAUGAAUUGACGGGGACCGCACAAGUAGUGAGCAUGUGGUUAUUCGAGAUACGCGCAGACCUUACCACACUUGACAUGUCGUCGCGACUCUAAGAGAUUAGAGUUUCGGUUCGGCCGACGGAACACAGGUGCUGCAUGGC
This 510-nucleotide ribosomal RNA is filed under the name uncultured marine bacterium. RNAcentral describes it as "bacterial SSU rRNA". It matches the Rfam family "Bacterial small subunit ribosomal RNA", at positions 527 to 1049 of the family's 1533-position model. The record is from RNAcentral.